CACUAAUUCGUAACAAUAUUCCAUCCAUCCAUCCAUUUUCUACCGCUUGUCCCGUUCGGGGUCGCGGAGGGUGCUGUAGCCUAUCUCAGCUACAAUCGGGCGGAAGGUGCCGUACACCCUGGACAAGUCGCCACCUCAUCGCAGGGCCAACACAGAUUGACAACAUUCACACUCACAUUCACACACUAGGGCCAAUUUAGUGUUGCCAAUCAACCUAUCCCCAGGUGCAUGUCUUUGGAGGUGGGAGGAAGCCGGAGUACCCGGAGAGAACCCACGCAGUCACGGGGAGAACAUGCAAACUCCACACAGAAAUUUCUUGAGCCCAGAAUUGAACCCAGGACCUUCGUAUUGUGAGGCACACGUACUAACCCCUGUACCACCGUGCUGCCUUAAUGCAUACCUGCCAACUACUCCGGUUUUCCCGUAAUUAGUACGGUUUUCAUCAACCUAUUCCGGGUUACGGUUGCAGUGAUAAAAAAUACGGUUUUUCAUUAAUUAAAAAAAAAUAUUUAAAAAAAAGUUUUAUUCACGAAAUCGCGUAACAACAAUGACAAUCGACACUGCUUCCCGUAACUUCCUAUCGAGCCAUUCCGAAUGCCAUGUGUAACACGGGUGGGAAAUAAGCCAUAUUUCCUCUCAUGACAUCUCAUAUUACCUGCGCCGUUUCCACGUUUAAUCUCGCGAGUUUAACACACACGCUCACGUGACCCGCUGCAGCCAAUCACGCUCUAUAAAAUCCAGCAUUCCGAGAUGGCUGCCAGGUGCGGUGGCUAAGCCUGGGAACAUAUGAAGCCGGUAUGUUUUAAAGUUGUCGUUUGCUUGCAUAUUGUAAAAACAACCGUCCAACAUUUACAACUAAUUGUAAACUUGUAGGUGCCGAACAUCAGGGACGUGUUGCGACGAGAGAGUGUGUCGAUGAUAAGAUAUUAAGCCGAGUUGGCCAGGUCCCUAAGUCUUGGAUGGCGAGCUGUAGAUAGGCCUCGAGCCUGAGCCCAAGGAUCUCCACCUCUCAACCCCUGAACUCCACCUGCUCUGGUCGGGCCGGUAGGCGGCUUAUAGCCGAACCCCUUGCCUCGCACCUCAUUGCUCUGCGGCCCUUUGCACUACCUCAUACACACCCUGCCCAUAAACUGAACUCUCACUACAAACUGCCAUACCCACAACCCCAAACCGUGUGGCUGUAUGAACUCUGAAUGCGCAUAUGGACUGCGAUCAGUCUCAUAUGACCUUUUAAGAACUUUUGAUACUACCUGUUAUGAAUUACCUGAACCCUUGCUGUUUUUUUCUUUUGUUUUGAAUGGCCAUUCCUAUCAAUGUAUGUCCACUAUUUGUUGCACUGUACAUAUUUAAAUAACACCAGUAUAAUUUAAAGCA
This is a long non-coding RNA of Nerophis lumbriciformis (worm pipefish), 1374 nucleotides long. RefSeq lists it as uncharacterized. The record is from RefSeq and is a predicted model, not a curated record. Lineage: Eukaryota; Metazoa; Chordata; Actinopteri; Syngnathiformes; Syngnathidae.